This is a long non-coding RNA of Drosophila innubila, 506 nucleotides long. RefSeq lists it as uncharacterized. The record is from RefSeq and is a predicted model, not a curated record. NCBI's taxonomy places the organism in Eukaryota, Metazoa, Arthropoda, Insecta, Diptera, Drosophilidae. The transcript is spliced from 2 exons.
GUCGAAAAUCUUAAGACCGGUGAGUUAGUGGGAUGUCUUUGUUGUUUUGUGAUUAAUAGAGUUACAUAUGUAUCUUUAGUGGACUUUUGUUCUGUUUGCUUACUUUACGUUUGUGGAGUCUGCAUUGAUCGUUCCAAAAAUCAAUAAUGAAAAUGGUUUCCUGCUGGAACCGUCUAAUGAUCGAUAUGUGUUGAGUAUUCUACAUCCGGAUGGCACAAGUUGGCAAAAGGAGACAGUGCAAGAGAUUUCCCCCGGAGAAUUGGAGGUAAAGGGAACGAUCAAUCAGGCUUUUGAAGAACAAGGUGGCACUCUUGUGGUAAUAUACGAGGCUGGACGCAAUGGAUAUGUGGCAAAGUAUACAUACGAUGGCAAAGGCAAACCACCACCGCCUCUAGCCGUACCAGUAAGUGCCAGAGCUCUAAUGUCGGCAGCUGGUUAGAAUUGAAUUUAAUCGUUUGAAAUUAUACUUAAAUUAAUGAAAAAACUAUAUUUGAAUUCACUUUUCA